AGUGCGACGGGAUCGACGCCCCGCGUCACGACGAGGUAGUCGCGCAUCACCACGGAGUGCUUGUUCUC
Molecule: small RNA, 68 nt
Filed under: Rhodococcus rhodnii LMG 5362
Lineage: Bacteria; Bacillati; Actinomycetota; Actinomycetes; Mycobacteriales; Nocardiaceae
Description: ASdes TB sRNA
Rfam family: ASdes TB sRNA
Source: Rfam by way of RNAcentral